AAAAUCUCCAUGAGUGCUAAUGGCAUAAUGAAUGGGAAGAAACAAUAUAAAAAAAUGAAUACAGUGUUUUUAGUGAAUAUGCCAAUAAUCUACAGAGUCUGUUGUCAUAUCUGGUCUCCCAGUGAAGCCUCCGAAGACAGAGGCACUGGUCUGUCUGUUGGCACGAUGUUUUGAUGAAAGAAAAAGAAACAAAAGAAAGCAACUUUUUUUUUAACCAAGUUUGUAUUAGAAUUUUAUAGCUGCAACAAAAUGCAGAGCACUGAAGUCUAAGUGAAACUUAAGCAGCAAACUGGUACAUUGAAAGUGGCAUCAGUAUUAAAUUCAUCUUCCCUUUAAUGAUCUGGGUUUCAGAUAUUGCUUCCAGGACACAUGCUGAAGACCCCUAACCCUUGUGCAAAUCCUGAAGAUGCAUCCUUGGAAGCAUGCACUUUUUCUGUGAUAGAAAGGGAAAAUGCAGCCUUCUGCUUUACUGGAGUUUGCAAGGACACAGUAUAUUUGCUUAAGAGGGAACUCUACUGGCUACUUUUUGGAAGUUUCUUGCUCCUUCUGCCUGCUGGCUCUGACAUCCCCAUUCCAGAGGAAGUGAAAUGCAGCAUCUCUUCUAAGAGGGAGCGUUGGAGGUGGUGACAUCUGAAGACUGAGGAGCUCAAGGAAAAAGCGGAGGGCAACACUUUUUGGUUUUAUGGUGAUGAGAACAAGCCAUUACAACUGGACCAGACUGUGACAGGAAAGUGUUCUUGUUGUAUCAAAGGCAGCAAGCAGGCUGCCAAAAAAAGAAAAGUCAACAAAGCUGUUCAGAUUACU
Apteryx owenii (little spotted kiwi) is the source of this 804-nucleotide long non-coding RNA. Lineage: Eukaryota; Metazoa; Chordata; Aves; Apterygiformes; Apterygidae. The record is from Ensembl.